GGGCAAAUGUGGCGUGAGAAAGGAGCAGGUAUGAUGGAAAAGAGGAAGUGGUGAUGAAAGGAGGGAGAAGAAGAAGAAAUUAAUGAAGAUGAAAAGAGGAAGAUGGGGGCAAGGAAGCACAUGUUGGGAGUCAGGCACUUUGUGUGAAGGCAGAAGGUGAUGCUCCUCUCAAAACCAAACUGCUGCUCCAGCUGUUGCGGCCUCCUUGCCUGAAAACAAGAAGAACCAGUGCAAAUGCACGUUACUGUGGACAUGUGCUGCUGCAAGCUGUGCUAGCAUCAUGCCUUAAAUCCAAGUUGUUGCAACGAAUUGCACUUUCCUGCUGUUUUCAGAGCAG
Pogoniulus pusillus (Red-fronted tinkerbird) is the source of this 337-nucleotide long non-coding RNA. RefSeq lists it as uncharacterized. Lineage: Eukaryota; Metazoa; Chordata; Aves; Piciformes; Lybiidae. The transcript is spliced from 2 exons. The record is from RefSeq and is a predicted model, not a curated record.